Molecule: ribosomal RNA, 403 nt
Filed under: uncultured bacterium
Lineage: Bacteria
Description: partial 16S ribosomal RNA
Rfam family: Bacterial small subunit ribosomal RNA
Source: RNAcentral
AUGGAACGCUGGCGGCAGGCCUAACACAUGCAAGUCGAGCGAGCGGCGGACGGGUGAGUAAUGUAUGGGGACUGCCCGAUAGAGGGGGAUAACUACUGGAAACGGUGGCUAAUACCGCAUACUAUCGGAUAACCCAUAUGGGAUUAGCUAGUAGGUGGGGUAAAGGCGCACCUAGGCGACGAUCUCUAGCUGGUCUGAGAGGAUGAGAAGCCACACUGUGACUGAGCCACUGCCCAGACUCCUCCGGCGGCAGCAGUGGGGAAUAUUGCACUAUGGGCGCAAGCCUGAUGCAGCCAUGCCGCGGGUAUGAAGAAGGCCUUAGGGUUGUAAAGUACUUUCAGCGGGGAGGCGUUACCCGCAGAAGAAGCACCGGCUAACUCCGUGCCAGCAGCCGCGGUAAUAC